CAGCUACUCCCUCCGUCCGGAAAUACUUGUCAGCGAAAUGGAUGUAUCCAGACGUAUUUUAGUUUUAGAUACAUCCAUUUUAAUCCAUUUAUGCGACUAGUAUUUCCAGACGGAGGGAGUACCUG
Molecule: non-coding RNA, 125 nt
Organism: Triticum aestivum (bread wheat)
Lineage: Eukaryota; Viridiplantae; Streptophyta; Magnoliopsida; Poales; Poaceae
Source: Rfam